RNAcentral lists this transfer RNA (77 nucleotides) under Pseudomonadota bacterium. Its description in RNAcentral is "Proteobacteria bacterium (marine sediment metagenome) tRNA-Ile". It matches the Rfam family "tRNA". Rfam says of the family: Transfer RNA (tRNA) molecules are approximately 80 nucleotides in length. The record is from RNAcentral. Lineage: Bacteria; Pseudomonadati; Pseudomonadota. RNAcentral also lists the same sequence under 1 other name.
GGGCCUUUAGCUCAGUCGGCUAGAGCAUUCCUCUGAUAAGGGAAAGGUCUCUGGUUCAAGUCCAGAAAGGCCCACCA